ACGAGAUGUGAUGAUGUUUAACCAUCAUUACUGCAAUUUUGUGAUGAAUACAUACAUGCACUACCAUCUGAUCUCUG
Small nucleolar RNA from Quercus robur (English oak), 77 nucleotides. The record is from RefSeq and is a predicted model, not a curated record. Lineage: Eukaryota; Viridiplantae; Streptophyta; Magnoliopsida; Fagales; Fagaceae.